GACGAACGCUGGCGGCGUGCCUAAUACAUGCAAGUAGAACGCUGAAGGAGGAGCUUGCUCUUCUGGAUGAGUUGCGAACGGGUGAGUAACGCGUAGGUAACCUGCCUGGUAGCGGGGGAUAACUAUUGGAAACGAUAGCUAAUACCGCAUAACAGUAGAUGUUGCAUGACAUUUACUUAAAAGGUGCAAUUGCAUCACUACCAGAUGGACCUGCGUUGUAUUAGCUAGUUGGUGGGGUAACGGCUCACCAAGGCGACGAUACAUAGCCGACCUGAGAGGGUGAUCGGCCACACUGGGACUGAGACACGGCCCAGACUCCUACGGGAGGCAGCAGUAGGGAAUCUUCGGCAAUGGACGGAAGUCUGACCGAGAAACGCCGCGUGAGUGAAGAAGGUUUUCGGAUCGUAAAGCUCUGUUGUAAGAGAAGAACGAGUGUGAGAGUGGAAAGUUCACACCGUGACGGUAGCUUACCAGAAAGGGACGGCUAACUACGUG
RNAcentral lists this ribosomal RNA (495 nucleotides) under uncultured bacterium. RNAcentral describes it as "partial 16S ribosomal RNA". It matches the Rfam family "Bacterial small subunit ribosomal RNA", at positions 28 to 507 of the family's 1533-position model. The record is from RNAcentral.